This 996-nucleotide ribosomal RNA is filed under the name Cyclommatus lunifer. Its description in RNAcentral is "partial 16S ribosomal RNA". The record is from RNAcentral. Lineage: Eukaryota; Metazoa; Arthropoda; Insecta; Coleoptera; Lucanidae.
UAAAUAAAAAUUUUUUAUUUAAAGGUUCCCGAAUUUAGGAGAGCUAAUUGUGAAAAAAUUUUAAUGUUGAAAAAUUAUUUAGAAUUUACAGUUAGGAAUAAUAUGUUAGUCAUUCUUUAAUAUAUCUGGUUUUCUAAGAAAUUAAUUUAAUUAAUUUUUUCAAAUAAAUGAUUCUAUUUAUAGAUUUAUUUUUUGAUAAUUUAAAUUUUAAGGGGAAAAGCUUUUAAGAUAAUUAUUAUAAAUAUAAAUUAUUAAUAAAUUAAAUAGGAUUAGAAGUUUUCAUUUUUAGUAGAGUUUAAUAACCAAUUUUAUUUUUAUUUUGAUUUUUUUUAUUUUAAAUUUUUUAUUAGAACAAUUUAUUUAAUAAAAUUUUAUAUAAAAUAAUGAUGAAAUUAGUAAAAAUUUUUUAAGUGGGAUUAUCUUUUGUUUAUAAAAUUUUAUUAAGGAAUUCGGCAAAUAAAUUUUCCGCCUGUUUAAUAAAAACAUGUCUUUUUGUGUAAUAUAUAAAGUCUGGCCUGCCCAAUGAUUUAAUUUAAUGGCCGCGGUAUUUUGACCGUGCAAAGGUAGCAUAAUCAUUAGUUUUUUAAUUGAAAGCUGGAAUGAAUGGUUUGACGAGAAAAUUUCUGUCUCUGUAAAAUAGAUUGAAUUUUAUUAUUUAGUUAAAAAGCUUAAAUGUUUAAAAGGGACGAGAAGACCCUAUAGAAUUUUAUAUUUUUGGAUGUGAAUAUCUGUGGAUUUGGUUUAUUAUUAUAUUUAAAAAUAUUUUGUUGGGGCGAUGGGAAAAUUUAUUAAACUUUUCUUUUAUUUUUUACAUUUAUUUAUGAUUAUAUGAUCCAUUUUUUCUAGUGAUUAUAAGAGAAAAUUACCUUAGGGAUAACAGCGUAAUUAAUUUGGAGAGUUCAUAUCGAUAAAUUAGUUUGCGACCUCGAUGUUGGAUUAAAAUAAUAAUUAGGUGGAGAAGCUUAAGUAAUAAGUCUGUUCGACUUUUAAAAUUUU